RNAcentral lists this small nuclear RNA (109 nucleotides) under Urocitellus parryii (Arctic ground squirrel). Lineage: Eukaryota; Metazoa; Chordata; Mammalia; Rodentia; Sciuridae. The record is from RNAcentral.
GUGCUUGCUUUGGAAGCACCUAAACUAAUAUUGGAAGGAUACCAAGAAGAUUAGUAUGAACCCUGAUUUAAAAAAAAAAAAUGGUAGCCAAGAGACUAAGCAUAGAUUG